UCAUUGGUGCUUCAGUGGUAGAAUUCUUACCUGCCAUGCAGGAGGCUUGGAUUCGAUUCCCAGCCAAAGCA
RNAcentral lists this transfer RNA (71 nucleotides) under Rattus norvegicus (Norway rat). It matches the Rfam family "tRNA". Rfam says of the family: Transfer RNA (tRNA) molecules are approximately 80 nucleotides in length. Their secondary structure includes four short double-helical elements and three loops (D, anti-codon, and T loops). The record is from Rfam by way of RNAcentral. Lineage: Eukaryota; Metazoa; Chordata; Mammalia; Rodentia; Muridae.